RNAcentral lists this ribosomal RNA (519 nucleotides) under uncultured eukaryote. RNAcentral's name for it is "SSU rRNA". It matches the Rfam family "Eukaryotic small subunit ribosomal RNA", at positions 1161 to 1704 of the family's 1831-position model. The record is from RNAcentral.
AGGGCACCACCAGGAGUGGAGCCUGCGGCUUAAUUUGACUCAACACGGGGAAACUCACCCGGCCCGGACACCAUAAGGAUUGACAGAUUGAUAGCUUUUUCAUGAUUUGGUGGAUGGUGGUGCAUGGCCGUUCUUAGUUCGUGGAGCGAUUUGUCUGGUUUAUUCCGAUAACGAGCGAGACUCUAGCCUACUAAAUAGUCUGCACAUUGCUUCUGUGUUGCAGUACUUCUUAGAGGGAUUUUCGGUGUACAGCCGCACGAGAUUGAGCAAUAACAGGUCUGUGAUGCCCUUAGAUGUCCGGGGCUGCACGCGCGCUACACUGGCGAAAUCAGCGUGCUUGUCCUUGCUCGAAAGAGCUUGGUAAACCAAUGAAAAUUUGCCGUGAUUGGGAUCGGAAAUUGCAAUUAUUUUCCGUGAACGAGGAAUUCCAAGUAAAUGCGAGUCAUCAACUCGCGUUGAUUACGUCCCUGCCCUUUGUACACACCGCCCGUCGCUGCCCGGGACUGAGCCAUUUCGAGA